Long non-coding RNA from Humulus lupulus (European hop), 286 nucleotides. RefSeq lists it as uncharacterized. The transcript is spliced from 3 exons. Lineage: Eukaryota; Viridiplantae; Streptophyta; Magnoliopsida; Rosales; Cannabaceae. The record is from RefSeq and is a predicted model, not a curated record.
UGGGGCAAGAUGAUCUCAUUGAGGUCUACACCAUCAUCGUCUAUACAUACUGCUAAUAGCAAAUACAUAUUCCAUACAUAAAGGACAGAUGAAAUGAUUUAUGAGUUUUUGUUUGGGGAGCUGACUACUCAGGUAGUGAUGGCAUGAAUUCUGGCUCAAUGAAUAUUAUCAGAGGUUUUUAAUCAAAAUUUGGGUUCAUCAUCAGCUCUACCAACUACAACAAGGGACACCAUUUUGUUGGUUCAUGGAUCGUCAUUGGAUAGGGACAUCAUCAGCUCUGAAUUUA